RNAcentral lists this ribosomal RNA (243 nucleotides) under uncultured bacterium. RNAcentral's name for it is "partial 16S ribosomal RNA". It matches the Rfam family "Bacterial small subunit ribosomal RNA", at positions 534 to 776 of the family's 1533-position model. The record is from RNAcentral.
GCAAGCGUUGUCCGGAAUUAUUGGGCGUAAAGAGCUCGUAGGCGGCUUGUCGCGUCGGAUGUGAAAGCCCGGGGCUUAACUCCGGGUCUGCAUUCGAUACGGGCAGGCUAGAGUUCGGUAGGGGAGAUCGGAAUUCCUGGUGUAGCGGUGAAAUGCGCAGAUAUCAGGAGGAACACCGGUGGCGAAGGCGGAUCUCUGGGCCGAUACUGACGCUGAGGAGCGAAAGCGUGGGGAGCGAACAGG